UAGCCUAUUUUUGGAUCUGGGAAGAGUUAAAGAAAGUGGAAAACAAAAAUGACUGAAUGCUGUUCCAGAUUAAUCGAUCUUCCAUAAUAAUUCUGGUUAUCUUAUAAUUAGGGAGAAGGAUUAUGAACAGUGCAAUAUUUUUGGUGAAGAAUAUAUUUUAUGUGAAAGGAAGAGAUUUCUAGGACAUGGAGGAUUCUAAUUAUUUAAUUUGGUUAUGGUCAUGGCGAUUUGGUCCAUGGCGAUGGUGGCGGUGGUCGAUGGAGAUGGCAGCGUCGGCAAAUUUCUAGUUUUGGGAUUGAGGGGGUCGAUGAAGAAGAGUCUUUUCUUUUUUCUUUUUAUUCUUUUUUGUUUUUGAUUUAAUUUUUUAAUUAUUUUAUGGAAAAAUAUUAAAUUACAAUUUUGCUCUUUUAAAAAUUGAUUAAAAUGUGGUUAGAAUUAAUUUUCGGGCCAACUGAUGACAGAUUGGAUGGAAACUGCCUAUUGGGGCUUCUGUUGUUACGAUUUGAAAUGUUUUGAGUGAUGACUGCAACGAUUGAAAGGUUAGAAAAAUGUCUGGCAAUAUUUGAAAGGUUUGGGUUCUCAGUUGUAAUUAUCCCUUAUUUUUAUGAAUUCUAUUUUUAGCGGUUGGAGGACUCCAAGUUUGCUUCUCCGCUUUUGUCUGUUUAUUAAAAAGUUGUUUGGGGA
This 684-nucleotide long non-coding RNA is filed under the name Olea europaea subsp. europaea. Lineage: Eukaryota; Viridiplantae; Streptophyta; Magnoliopsida; Lamiales; Oleaceae. The record is from RNAcentral.